GAUGAACGCUAGCGGCAGGCUUAAUACAUGCAAGUCGAGGGGCAGCACGGUUAGCAAUAACUGGUGGCGACCGGCGCACGGGUGCGUAACACGUAUACAAUCUACCUUAAACAGGGGAUAGCCUUUCGAAAGAGAGAUUAAUACCCCGUAAUAAAUUGAACGGCAUCGUUUGAUUUUGAAAGCUCCGGCGGUUUGAGAUGAGUAUGCGUCUGAUUAGCUAGUUGGUGAGGUAACGGCUCACCAAGGCGACGAUCAGUAGGGGAUCUGAGAGGACUAACCCCCACACUGGUACUGAGACACGGACCAGACUCCUACGGGAGGCAGCAGUAAGGAAUAUUGGUCAAUGGAGGCAACUCUGAACCAGCCAUGCCGCGUGCAGGAUGACGGCCCUAUGGGUUGUAAACUGCUUUUAUACAAGAGAAAACCCUGGUACGUGUACCAGGUUGAUAGUAUUGUAAGAAUAAGCAUCGGCUAAACUUCGUGCCAGCAGCCGCGGU
RNAcentral lists this ribosomal RNA (497 nucleotides) under uncultured bacterium. Its description in RNAcentral is "bacterial SSU rRNA". It matches the Rfam family "Bacterial small subunit ribosomal RNA", at positions 28 to 521 of the family's 1533-position model. The record is from RNAcentral.